UACGUAGGGGGCAAGCGUUGUCCGGCUUUAUUGGGCGUAAAGAGCGUGUAGGCGGCCAGACAGGUCCGUUGUGAAAACUCGAGGCUCAACCUCGAGACGCCGAUGGAAACCGUCUGGCUAGAGUCCGGAAGAGGAGAGUGGAAUUCCCGGUGUAGCGGUGAAAUGCGCAGAUAUCGGGAAGAACACCCGUGGCUAAGGCGGCUCUCUAGUACGGUACUGACGCUGAGACGCGAAAGCGUGGGGAGCGAACAGG
This 253-nucleotide ribosomal RNA is filed under the name uncultured bacterium. RNAcentral describes it as "partial 16S ribosomal RNA". It matches the Rfam family "Bacterial small subunit ribosomal RNA", at positions 524 to 776 of the family's 1533-position model. The record is from RNAcentral.